This 441-nucleotide ribosomal RNA is filed under the name uncultured bacterium. RNAcentral describes it as "partial 16S ribosomal RNA". It matches the Rfam family "Bacterial small subunit ribosomal RNA", at positions 339 to 795 of the family's 1533-position model. The record is from RNAcentral.
CUACGGGGGGCUCCAGUAGGGAAUUUUGCGCAAUGGGCGAAAGCCUGACGCAGCAACACCGCGUGAGUGAAGAAGCCCUUUGGGGUGUAAAGCUCUGUCAGUGGGGACGAAGUUCUGACGGUACCCACAGAGGAAGCAUCGGCUAACUACGUGCCAGCAGCCGCGGUAAGACGUAGGAUGCAAGCGUUGUCCGGAAUUAUUGGGCGUAAAGAGUUCGUAGGCGGCAUAUCAAGUCUGGUGUUAAAUACUGAGGCUCAACCUCAGCUCGGCACUGGAUACUGGUAAGCUAGAAUAUAGUAGGGGCAAGGGGAAUUCCUGGUGUAGCGGUGAAAUGCGUAGAUAUCAGGAGGAACACCGGUGGCGAAGGCGCCUUGCUGGGCUAUUAUUGACGCUGAGGAACGAAAGCUAGGGUAGCAAAUGGGAUUAGAUACCCUCGUAGUC